Molecule: long non-coding RNA, 1270 nt
Filed under: Cyanistes caeruleus (blue tit)
Lineage: Eukaryota; Metazoa; Chordata; Aves; Passeriformes; Paridae
Description: lncRNA (ENSCCEG00000016302.1)
Source: RNAcentral
AUCAAGAAAAAAUAAAUAAAGUUCAUGGAGAGAAUCGUCUUUUUUCUAACAUGAACACAAUACAGGUUUUAUAGUGAUGGUAAUCACAACUGGAAAUACCUUUAUAUUUGCUGACCACCAAAGAGCUUCUGUUUGGCAAUUAAAAUAGCAGAUUAAAAAAACAACCCAGUACACAGAUUGAGUCUAAGUUGUAACUGCACUUUUAACACCAGCGCCUUGCUCACAAUUACACCUAAUAUUCUUCCUCUACUUUCGUACUUGGAUAACAGGAUGACAUGAAGACUAAAACCUAAAACAAAGCUAGUAGCAACUGCAGUGAACUCCAGAGGCUGAACGAUCUGUCUGUAGCACGCAUACACAGGCAUCCUUGGAUUCACCUGUUCAGCAGCCGAGAACCAAAGCAGCACCGCCCGCCACGAAUUAAAACUUAAGCGGAGCGGAGCCGACGUGGGGUCGAGGCCGGAGCGGAGCCCUUCGGCCGCAGUAGCUGGGGCACGGACAGGUCUGCGGCUCGGCUCGGCCCGGCUCACCGCACGCCGCCGGGCAUCCUCCCCUCCACUGCAGCCGCAUUAUCUGAGACCCAGCAAAGCAUCCGACAGCAUCAGUGCGCCUCCAGAGCAGGACCCGGGCUACAUCCCGCAAGCGAGCACCCACAGGCUCGGGUGUAGCGCGCACACAAACGCACCUGGCAGCCCCGGGGCGAUCCUGCGGGGAAACCGCGGCGAGACCCGGCUGCCCCCUCCCUGUGCGCCCGCAGAGCGAGCGGCUCCGCGGGGCCUCCCGCCGUGGGCACAGCGGGGUUGGUACUGACCUUUCUGCUGGCGAAAGGACUGGAUGGAGCCCNCCAGCCGGUGGCUGUCCCUCCGCCCGCCCAGCCGGUGGCUGUCCCUCCGCCCGCCCAGCCGGGAAAAGGGAAUUAUGCCCGGAGAAAUCGGCGAGGAAGUCUGUGUGGACCCCGCUGAGGAGGAGCACCGGCCCCUGCCCUGUUAUCUCGGCUGUUAUGCCUAGUGCCUUCCUUCUCUCCCUUCAGAAGAUAGCAGGCUUCCUAUUGAGAAGUAUAAAGCAUAUUCCAGAAAUAUGGGAUAAGUUGAGCAGUUGCAAGUGUACACUGUGUCACUGGAACCAGAUCCUUCAAACCAGAUCCUUCAGUUCCCCAAAACUGUACAGCAGAAUACUCAGUGAAGGUCCCCAAUACAGAAUGGGUAGAGGAAAAGGGAAUAACUCAGCAAAUGUACCACUUCCCCAGCCAGCACGCUCAUGGGGAAAGUAG